CAAGCCAGGCUCUCUACUUCCACUUCCCUCCCAAACACGAGCGUGUUUGGGAGGGAAGCGGAAGUAGAGAGCCUGGCUUA
Paramuricea clavata is the source of this 80-nucleotide non-coding RNA. NCBI's taxonomy places the organism in Eukaryota, Metazoa, Cnidaria, Anthozoa, Malacalcyonacea, Plexauridae. The record is from the annotation of a GenBank genome assembly.